GGCACCGCCUCCAUUACCUCAUUGCUGUCGAGAAUUUGACCCUCUAGAACUGGUUUCACACAGCUUCUCCCUCCUUUUUUGAAUUGGAUGAUGAGUAAUCGUGUUACGUCACCUAUUAAUUAUAGGAGACGAGUAGGUGAAUCCGAUU
This is a non-coding RNA of Caenorhabditis elegans, 148 nucleotides long. The record is from Ensembl. Lineage: Eukaryota; Metazoa; Nematoda; Chromadorea; Rhabditida; Rhabditidae.